This 87-nucleotide transfer RNA is filed under the name Thalassospira alkalitolerans. RNAcentral's name for it is "tRNA-Leu". It matches the Rfam family "tRNA". From Rfam's summary of the family: Transfer RNA (tRNA) molecules are approximately 80 nucleotides in length. The record is from RNAcentral. Lineage: Bacteria; Pseudomonadati; Pseudomonadota; Alphaproteobacteria; Rhodospirillales; Thalassospiraceae. RNAcentral also lists the same sequence under 5 other names.
GCCCAGGUGGCGGAAUUGGUAGACGCGCUGGCUUCAGGUGCCAGUGAUCGCAAGGUCGUGGAAGUUCGAGUCUUCUCCUGGGCACCA